RNAcentral lists this ribosomal RNA (467 nucleotides) under uncultured marine group I thaumarchaeote. Its description in RNAcentral is "bacterial SSU rRNA". It matches the Rfam family "Archaeal small subunit ribosomal RNA", at positions 427 to 893 of the family's 1478-position model. The record is from RNAcentral. Lineage: Archaea; Thermoproteati; Nitrososphaerota.
ACUAACGAAUAAGGGGUGGGCAAGUUCUGGUGUCAGCCGCCGCGGUAAAACCAGCACCUCAAGUGGUCAGGAUGAUUAUUGGGCCUAAAGCAUCCGUAGCCGGCUCUGUAAGUUUUCGGUUAAAUCUGUACGCUCAACGUACAGGCUGCCGGGAAUACUGCAGAGCUAGGGAGUGGGAGAGGUAGACGGUACUCGGGAGGAAGUGGUAAAAUGCUUUGAUCUCUCGAUGACCACCUGUGGCGAAGGCGGUCUACCAGAACACGUCCGACGGUGAGGGAUGAAAGCUGGGGGAGCAAACCGGAUUAGAUACCCGGGUAGUCCCAGCUGUAAACUAUGCAAACUCAGUGAUGCAUUGGCUUGUGGCCAAUGCAGUAUUGCAGGGAAGCCGUUAAGUUUGCCGCCUGGGAAGUACGUACGCAAGUAUGAAACUUAAAGGAAUUGGCGGGGGAGCACCACAAGGGGUGAAG